AUUGAACGCUGGCGGCAGGCCUAACACAUGCAAGUCGAGCGGAUGAAGGGAGCUUGCUCCUGGAUUCAGCGGCGGACGGGUGCGUAAUGCCUAGGCAUCUGCCUGGUAGUGGGGGAUAACGUCCGGCAACGGGCGCUAAUACCGAUUACGUCCUGAGGGAGAAAGUGGGGGAUCUUCGGCCCUCACGCUAUCAGAUGAGCCUAGGUCGGAUUAGCUAGUUGGUGGGGUAAAGGCCUACCAAGGCGACGAUCCGUAACUGGUCUGAGAGGAUGAUCAGUCACACUGGAACUGAGACACGGUCCAGACUCCUACGGGAGGCAGCAGUGGGGAAUAUUGGACAAUGGGCGAAAGCCUGAUCCAGCCAUGCCGCGUGUAUGAAGAAGGUCUUCGGAUUGUAAAGCACUUUAAGUUGGGAGGAAGGGCAGUAAGUUAAUACCGUGCUGUUUUGACGUUACCAACAGAAUAAGCACCGGCUAACUUCGUG
This 484-nucleotide ribosomal RNA is filed under the name uncultured bacterium. RNAcentral's name for it is "partial 16S ribosomal RNA". It matches the Rfam family "Bacterial small subunit ribosomal RNA", at positions 30 to 507 of the family's 1533-position model. The record is from RNAcentral.